This 239-nucleotide ribosomal RNA is filed under the name Desmodesmus komarekii. RNAcentral describes it as "internal transcribed spacer 2". The record is from RNAcentral. Lineage: Eukaryota; Viridiplantae; Chlorophyta; Chlorophyceae; Sphaeropleales; Scenedesmaceae.
CCCUCACCCCUCUUCCUUAACAGGAGGCGCCUGUCGUGCUUGCUCAAGCCGGCAGCAGGGGUGGAUCUGGCUCUCCCAAUUGGUUCACUCCGAUUGGGUUGGCUGAAGCACAGAGGAUUAAACUGGGACCCAAUUCGGGCUCAACUGGAUAGGUAGCAACACCCUCGGGUGCCUACACGAAGUUGUGUCUGAGGACCUGGUUAGGAUCCAAGCAGGAAACAUGCCUCUGGCAUGUACUC